This 748-nucleotide long non-coding RNA is filed under the name Capra hircus (goat). RNAcentral describes it as "lncRNA (ENSCHIG00000006923.1)". Lineage: Eukaryota; Metazoa; Chordata; Mammalia; Artiodactyla; Bovidae. The record is from RNAcentral.
GGCACGCCCUGUGACCAGGAACCCCACUCCUUGGUAGGCUGUCAUAGCAGCACCAUCCAGCUAGCUCAGCAAGCAGUCCCCUCACUGCCGGUCAACUGCAGAAUAAAGAAAUGGAGGCGGCUGAGUUACACAAAGGGAUGCCAGACAGUGGGGGAAACGAGCAGACCACAGCCACACACAGACACACAGGAACACCGCACAGGCAGUGCUGCAGAAGAAACCGGACACCUGUGCUGAGUGACUCCAGGAAAGUACCAGCCUGCGUGGAGGCCUCCUGGCCAGCUGGGCUUUUCACUGCUUUCGGUUUCAGCAGCUAGCCUGGUCUCUGUCCUUGACAUGUCUGAUCACCAGGUAAAGACUGGCUAAUACCUGCUGUGUCUUGUCUUUUUCCCUCCUGGAUACCUGGACUCACCAACUAGCCCUGCUGCUUCUAGGAGAUUUAAAGGGCCAGUACCAUAUUUCCCCAUUCUUUAUUUUUCACUUUUAAUCCUUUUGGAAGCCAGACAUUUAAGGUCUAGGAUAUUCAAAAGCAAGCAUAUAUAUGGGGGGGGGGGCGGAUUUAGAAAGGUACCACACAGAUCUUACAAGUACCUCUCAGACUGAUCCCUGGUGUGGAGACACCGUAUAACACAAACACACAUACACUGCAGCAAAUUCUAAAGAAGUGGCAGAAUCUGAUUUCCACAGCUACCACAUUAUAAGAUUCAAAUAUCCAUUUAAAUAAGUCACAAAGCGUACUAGAGACAGG